UACGUAGGGUGCAAGCGUUGUCCGGAAUUAUUGGGCGUAAAGAGCUCGUAGGCGGCCUGUCGCGUCGGCUGUGAAAACUCAGGGCUCAACCCUGAGCCUGCAGUCGAUACGGGCAGGCUAGAGUCCGGCAGGGGAGACUGGAAUUCCUGGUGUAGCGGUGAAAUGCGCAGAUAUCAGGAGGAACACCGGUGGCGAAGGCGGGUCUCUGGGCCGGAACUGACGCUGAGGCGCGAAAGCGUGGGGAGCAAACAGG
Molecule: ribosomal RNA, 253 nt
Filed under: uncultured bacterium
Lineage: Bacteria
Description: partial 16S ribosomal RNA
Rfam family: Bacterial small subunit ribosomal RNA
Source: RNAcentral